This 69-nucleotide transfer RNA is filed under the name Hemidactylus almakhwah (Al Makhwah gecko). RNAcentral's name for it is "tRNA-Glu". Lineage: Eukaryota; Metazoa; Chordata; Lepidosauria; Squamata; Gekkonidae. The record is from RNAcentral.
GUUUUUGUAGUUGAAUUACAACGGUGGUUUUUCAGAUCACAGGUUUUGGUGGUAGGCCAAAUGAAAAUA